UACAGAGGUCUCAAGCGUUGUUCGGAUUCAUUGGGCGUAAAGGGUGCGUAGGCGGCGCGGUAAGUCGGGUGUGAAAUCUCGGAGCUUAACUUCGAAACUGCAUUCGAUACUGCCGUGCUUGAGGACUGGAGAGGAGACUGGAAUUUACGGUGUAGCGGUGAAAUGCGUAGAUAUCGUAAGGAAGACCAGUGGCGAAGGCGGCUACCUGGACCAGCACUGACACUGAGGCACGAAAGCGUGGGGAGCAAACAGG
Molecule: ribosomal RNA, 253 nt
Filed under: uncultured bacterium
Lineage: Bacteria
Description: partial 16S ribosomal RNA
Rfam family: Bacterial small subunit ribosomal RNA
Source: RNAcentral